RNAcentral lists this ribosomal RNA (305 nucleotides) under uncultured bacterium. RNAcentral describes it as "bacterial SSU rRNA". It matches the Rfam family "Bacterial small subunit ribosomal RNA", at positions 337 to 634 of the family's 1533-position model. The record is from RNAcentral.
ACCUACGGGGGGCAGCAGUAGGGAAUCUUCCACAAGGGGCGAAAGCCUGAUGGAGCAACGCCGCGUGGGUGAAGAAGGUCUUCGGAUCGUAAAACCCUGUUGUUAGAGAAGAAAGUGCGUGAGAGUAACUGUUCACGUUUCGACGGUAUCUAACCAGAAAGCCACGGCUAACUACGUGCCAGCAGCCGCGGUAAUACGUAGGUGGCAAGCGUUAUCCGGAUUUAUUGGGCGUAAAGGGAACGCAGGCGGUCUUUUAAGUCUGAUGUGAAAGCCUUCGGCUUAACCGGAGUAGUGCAUUGGAAACU